UGUCAGCGGCGGGGGCGGCUGCCUCGGAAUGGGGCGCGCGGGCGACUCACGCGACAGGGAGUCCUCGGCAGGCCUGGGACGUCCUCCAGCUCCCGGGUGGGAGGGCGAGUGAGACGAGAGCCGGGCGGAGUUGGUUAGGGACCCGAGCCAGCUUGCUCCCCGGGAGCCGGCCACGGUUAGGUACCCACGCAGCUAGCUCUGGGCCGGCAGCGAGACGCGCCCUCCGGCCAUCAUCUCGGUCCGUUCGAUGAAGCGAGCCAGGGUGGGAAUCAUGCGCCUUCCGUGGGUCCUGCGGAGCAUCCAGUGUCCACACCGAGAGGUGAACCCGCCCGAGUCCUGAGGCUGAACGCCGCUGCCCCCGCCCCGCUGCGCGCCCGAGGUCCAGGACCAGAGUUUGAUUUCUUCUGUCUUGACUUCAUCCCCAUCCUCCCCUCCCCGCUCUUUGCUUGUGCCUUUAGUUUCUCUUGCGAUCAGGAUCUAGAGGUUUCCGGGGGAGUCUGACGAUAAAGCAAGCCCUAAAGUUGCAGGGACUUUACCCGUGUCCCAGGACGUGGAGGAUGAGCCCUGCCUCUCAUUCCAUUCCAAACGCAGAGUAUCUUGUUCUUUUCACUCAAGUGCGUUUUCCUUUCGUUACUUACAAAGCAAAUGGGAAAGGCUCCUAUAGCCUUGGUAUCUUCCAAAAUCUACUGCUCCGAGGGUCUUCUGAAUCUCCUGAGUAGAUGACACAGGAUCCCUUCCACACCGCAAAAUGCGGGAAACUCACAAGAACCCUGGCACCGUAAUGCCUAAUUCCAAUCUCCUCUAGCUAGCAGUAUGCCCUGGAUGUGUUACCCACCGCUUUAAGGUUUUUCUUUUUCCAUUUGCUUACCUUUAUAGCAAAUAUUUAUUGAGCACCUACUAUAUGUCAAGCAAUAUGAUAGGCUCUGAGGAUGCAGCUAUGGACAAGGCCAACAGGGCUCCAUCCUCAUGCAGCCUAUCUUCCAGUGGGAAAUCAAACAAUUUCUAAUAGUGAAAAGUCCCAUGGAGAAAAUAAAACAGGGCACCAUAACGAAGUGGCUGUGGAGGUGGGGUUGCCAGAUCAAUUGCAGGGCACCCAAUGAAAUUUGAAUUUCAAAUACAUGACGGAUGAAUAAUGUUUGAGUAUCCGUGAGUCCCAAACACUGCUUAAGACUUACUAAAAGACUAUUUGUUGUUUAUCUCAAAUUCCUUGUUUUGUAUUUUUAUUUUUAAAUCUGACAACCCCAUACAGAAGGUAGUUUUUUUUUUGUUUUUUUUUUUUUUUUUGACUGUUAUGUGUAUAUCUGAGAAGCUAAAUUUUAAGUUGAGGUUUAAAGAGGACAAAGAGCAGUCAUUGAAAGAUCUGAUUACAGAGCAUUCCAGGAAGAAGGAACAGCAGGUGCAAAGGCCUCAAGGCAGGAAGCAGCUUGGCUUGGCAUGGCAUGUUCAAGGACAGAUGGAACUGCUGCAAAAAUGUGGAAUAAGACCUGUAACCAAUCCUGGAAACUGUAGGAGUAUAUCAUAUGAGACUGACUUCAACUAUGGCCACCUUCUUGCUACCUUAUUGAACUGACUGGUUCCAGAUUAGGAAAGGAGUGAAAGUGCUGCACUCAAUAUGCCAACAAAUCUGGAAAACUCAGCAGUGGCCACAGGACUGAAAAAGGUCAGUUUUCAUUCCAAUCCCAAAGAAAGGCAAUGCCAAAGAAUGUUCAAACUACCACACAAUUGCACUCAUCUCACAUGCUAGCAAAGUAAUGCUCAAAAUUCUGCAGGCCAAGCUUCAAAAGUACAUGAAUCCUGAACUUCCAGAUGUUCAAGCUGGUUUUAAAAAAGGCAGAGGAACCAGAGAUCAAAUUGCCAACAUCCACUGGAUCAUCAAAAAAGCAAGAGAGUUCCAGAAAAACACCUACUUUUGCUUUAUUGACUACACCAAAGCCUUUGACUCUGUGGAUCACUACAAACUGUGGAAAAUUCUUAAAGAGCUGGGAAUACCAGAAAACCUGACCUGCCUCCUGAGAAAUCUUCAUGAAGGUCAAGAAGCAACAGUUAGAAUUGGACAUGAAACAACAGACUGGUUCCAAAUAGGAAAAGGAGUACAUCAAGGCUGUAUAUUGUCACCCUGCUUAUUUAACUUAUACGCAGAGUACAUCAUGCGAAAUGCUGGGCUGGAUGAAGCAUAAGCUGGAAUCAAGAUUGCCGGGAGAAAUAUCAAUAACCUCAGAUAUGCAGAUGACACCACCCUUAUGGCAGAAAGUAAAGAAAAACUAAAGAGCCUCUUGAUGAAAGUGAAAGAGGAGAGUGAAAAGGGUGGCUUAAAGCUCAACAUUCAGAAAAAUAAGAUCAUGGCAUCCGGUCCAUCACUUCAUGGCAAAUAGAUGGGGAAACAGUGGAAAGAGUGGCAGACUUUGUUUUUCUGGGCUCCAAAAUCACUGCAGAUGGUGAUUGCAGCCAUGAAAUUAAAAGACACUUGCUCCUUGGAAGGAAAGUUAUGACCAACCUAGACAGCAUGUUAAAAAGCAGAGACAUUACUUUGCCAACAAAGGUCCGUCUGGUCAAAGUUAUGGUUUUUCCAGUAGUCAUGUAUGGACGUGAGAGUUGGACUAUAAAGAGAGCUGAGCACUGAAGAAUUGAUGUUCUUGAACUGUGGUGUUGGAGAAGACUCUUGAGAGUCCCUUGGACUACAAGGAGAUCCAACCAGUCCAUCCUGGAGGAGACUGGUCCUAAGUGUUCAUUGGAAGGACUGAUGCUGAAGCUGAAACUCCAGUACUUUGGCCACCUGAUGCGAAGAGCUGACUCUUUGGAAAAGACCCUGAUGCUGGGAAAGAUUGAGGGUGGGAGGAGAAGGGGAUGACAGAGGAUGAGAUGGUUGGAUGGCAUCACCGACUCAAUGGACAUGAGUUUGGGUAAACUCCGGGAGUUGGUGGUGGACAGGGAGGCCUGGCGUGCUGCGGUUCAUGGGUUGCAAAGAGUUGGACACGACUGAGUGACUGAACUGAACUGAACUGAAUGGCAUAGAUUAGACAUGACUCAUCUUUGUAUCCACUUAGUACCUAGGACAGUUCUCUGUACUGUGGCAGUGCUCCUAAUGUAUGUGCUGAAUUGAACGAUUAGGUCCUUUUAUUACAUUUCUGACUUUAGAACUGAGAUUAUUGUUUUAAAAGUUACUCUUGUCACUUGAUUUUCUUAAUUUUCCAAUUUACUAUCAGAGAGAAUAAAUCACAGAGUAAUCUAAAAACACCAAAAAAUUGCCUUGCCUGAAAUAAAGUAUGAUUCCUCUUCACCAUAUCAACUACAGUAAGAUAGCAUAGUCUUCUCUAGUUCAAGCUGACCAAGUGAUUUCCAAACUGGAUGCCUUUACAACCUUUAUACAUGAGUGAUAUGGGUAGAAAAAUCAUUAUCUUUACUGUCCUCAAAUGGGUUCAAUGUAAGUGUGAUCUAUUCUUCCCUAUUUCUUCCUUCUUACUGA
Molecule: long non-coding RNA, 3463 nt
Organism: Dama dama (fallow deer)
Lineage: Eukaryota; Metazoa; Chordata; Mammalia; Artiodactyla; Cervidae
Exons: 3
Source: RefSeq, a predicted model, not a curated record